Molecule: unclassified non-coding RNA, 337 nt
Filed under: soil metagenome
Description: partial contains 5.8S ribosomal RNA, internal transcribed spacer 2, and large subunit ribosomal RNA
Rfam family: 5.8S ribosomal RNA (bases 1-120)
Source: RNAcentral
GAUGAAGAACGCAGCGAAAUGCGAUAAGUAGUGUGAAUUGCAGAAUUCAGUGAAUCAUCGAAUCUUUGAACGCACAUUGCGCCCCUUGGUACUCCAUGGGGCAUGCCUGUUCGAGCGUCAUUUGUACCUUCAAGCUCUGCUUGGUGUUGGGUGUUUGUCUCGCCUCUGCGUGUAGACUCGCCUCAAAACAAUUGGCAGCCGGCGUAUUGAUUUCGGAGCGCAGUACAUCUCGCGCUUUGCACUCAUAACGACGACGUCCAAAAGUACAUUUUUACACUCUUGACCUCGGAUCAGGUAGGGAUACCCGCUGAACUUAAGCAUAUCAAUAAGCGGAGGA